Molecule: ribosomal RNA, 253 nt
Filed under: uncultured bacterium
Lineage: Bacteria
Description: partial 16S ribosomal RNA
Rfam family: Bacterial small subunit ribosomal RNA
Source: RNAcentral
UACGGGGGGUGCUAGCGUUAUUCGGAAUCAUUGGGCGUAAAGGGCGCGUAGGCGGUCUUUUAAGUCAGAUGUGAAAGCCCUCGGCUUAACCGAGGAAGUGCAUUUGAUACUAAGAGACUUGAGUAUGGGAGAGGGAAGCGGAAGUCCUGGUGUAGCGGUGAAAUGCGUAGAUAUCAGGAGGAACACCGGUGGCGAAGGCGGCUUCCUGGACCAAUACUGACGCUGAGGCGCGAAGGCGUGGGGAGCAAACAGG